GACGUAGGUGGCGAGCGUUGUCCGGAAUUACUGGGCGUAAAGGGCGUGUAGGCGGCCAUUUAAGUCAGGCGUGAAAUCCCCGGGCUUAACCCUGGGACUGCGUUUGAAACUGGGUGGCUUGAGGACAGGAGAGGAAAGCGGAAUUCCCAGUGUAGCGGUGAAAUGCGUAGAUAUUGGGAGGAACACCAGUGGCGAAGGCGGCUUUCUGGACUGUCCCUGACGCUGAGGCGCGAAAGCCAGGGGAGCAAACGGG
This 253-nucleotide ribosomal RNA is filed under the name uncultured bacterium. Its description in RNAcentral is "partial 16S ribosomal RNA". It matches the Rfam family "Bacterial small subunit ribosomal RNA", at positions 524 to 776 of the family's 1533-position model. The record is from RNAcentral.